GCCGGGCGUGGUGGCUCAUGCCUGUAAUCCUGACACUUUGGGAGGCUGAGGCGGGCGGAUUACCUGAGGUCAGGAGUUUGAGACCAGCCUGGCCAACAUGGUGAAACCUCGCCUCUA
Molecule: non-coding RNA, 117 nt
Filed under: Pan troglodytes (chimpanzee)
Lineage: Eukaryota; Metazoa; Chordata; Mammalia; Primates; Hominidae
Source: Rfam by way of RNAcentral